CAAAUGAAUUGACGGGACCCGCACAAGCGGUGGAUCAUGUUGUUAAUUCGAUGAUACGCGAAGAACCUUACCAGGUCUUGACAUCCCCCGCGAUGCUUUAGAGAUAAAGCGGAGGUAUUCGGGGAGACAGGUGGUGCAUGGUUGUCGUCAGCUCGUGUCGUGAGAUGUUGGGUUAAGUCCCGCAACGAGCGCAACCCUAUUGCUAGUUACCAUCAUUAAGUUGGGGACUCUAGCGAGACUGCCAGUGAUAAACUGGAGGAAGGUGGGGAUGACGUCAAAUCAUCAUGCCCCUUAUGACCUGGGCUACAAACGUGAUACAAUGGCUGGAACAAAGGGAUGCGAAGCAGUGAUGUGGAGCGAAACCCAUAAAAACAGUCUCAGUUCGGAUUGAAGUCUGCAACUCGACUUCAUGAAGUCGGAAUCGCUAGUAAUCGCGGAUCAGAACGCCGCGGUGAAUACGUUCUCGGGGCUU
Molecule: ribosomal RNA, 472 nt
Filed under: uncultured Acholeplasma sp.
Lineage: Bacteria; Bacillati; Mycoplasmatota; Mollicutes; Acholeplasmatales; Acholeplasmataceae
Description: bacterial SSU rRNA
Rfam family: Bacterial small subunit ribosomal RNA
Source: RNAcentral